RNAcentral lists this transfer RNA (71 nucleotides) under Chloroflexota bacterium. RNAcentral describes it as "Chloroflexi bacterium tRNA-Ala". It matches the Rfam family "tRNA". Rfam says of the family: Transfer RNA (tRNA) molecules are approximately 80 nucleotides in length. Their secondary structure includes four short double-helical elements and three loops (D, anti-codon, and T loops). Lineage: Bacteria; Bacillati; Chloroflexota. The record is from RNAcentral.
GGUAGAUCAGGGGAAGAUCGCUUGCUUCGCAAGCAAGAGGCCACGGGUUCAAAUCAUGGCUUGUCUCAACA